Molecule: long non-coding RNA, 1010 nt
Filed under: Hordeum vulgare
Lineage: Eukaryota; Viridiplantae; Streptophyta; Magnoliopsida; Poales; Poaceae
Description: long non-coding RNA (HVUL_LNC021663)
Source: RNAcentral
GCAGUUGCUUCCAUGUGAAAACAUGAGUUCCUUGUUAUAUCACCAUACUAUUUAAUUUAAUGCACCUAUAUACUUGGUAAAAGGUGGAAGGCUCGUCCUUUCUAGCCUGGUGUUUUGUUCCACCUUUGCCCCCUUAGUUUCGGCUACCGGUGUUAUGUUCCAUAAACGAGCGCUCCUAACACGAUCGGGGUUGUUAUAGGGAACCCCUUGAUAAUUCGUUUUAGAUUAAAGCUGGUCUGGCAAGGCCCAACAUUGGUUUUACAUUUUCCCAACAUAAUAAUUUGAUAAUACUGAAAUGCAUAUGGAGUUAGCGCUACCCGAGGAGUAAUUCUACAUAAUACAGGAGGGGCCAGUGCUGAUGGUGUUGGUCCCAAACGGUCUGCAUGCGGGGUCACCACGAGGAAACUCGAGGUUUGGCACCCGUAGCUAAUUCCAUCCGUCAUGUCCUGAGAACGAGAUAUGCGGCUCCUAUUGGGAUCGUCGACACGCCGGGCGGCCUUGCUGGAUUAGUUUUACCUUUGACGAGAUAUCUUGUGCAUCGGGAUUCCGGUGAUGCUUUGGGUAAUCUCAGAGUUGAGGUUUUCCACUAGGGAAUCCGACGAGAUCGCGAGCUUCAUGAUCGAGGAUUUCUAUGCGGCUUGUGGUAAUUUGUGAUGGACUAGUUGGAGCACCCCUGCAGGGUUAAAUCUUUCGGAAAGCCGUGCCCGCAGUUAUGUGGCAACAUGGAAACUUUGUUUAACACUGGUUCUAGAUAACUUGAAGUUAACAUAAUUAAAAUAUGCCAACUGUGUGCGUAACCGUGAUUGUUUCUUUCGUGAGUUCUUUCUCCGAUCGAGGACACGGUGGGGUUAUGUCUGACGUAGGUAGGUGUUCAGGAUCAUUCUUUCGAUCAUCUGUAGUUCACGUCCGCUAUGCGUAGAUCUUCCCCCUCUUAUUUCUGGUACUCGUAAGUUUAGCCACCAAAUAUAUGCUUAGCCGCUGCAGCAACCUCACCACUUUACCAUACCUCA